Molecule: transfer RNA, 74 nt
Filed under: Rhytidiadelphus loreus
Lineage: Eukaryota; Viridiplantae; Streptophyta; Bryopsida; Hypnales; Hylocomiaceae
Also listed under: 1 other name
Description: tRNA-Pro (TGG) (tRNA-Pro-TGG-5-1)
Rfam family: tRNA
About the family: Transfer RNA (tRNA) molecules are approximately 80 nucleotides in length.
Source: RNAcentral
CGGGGCGUAGCGCAGCCUGGUAGCGCAUCUGCUUUGGGAGCAGAGGGUCGCAAGUUCGAAUCUUGCCGCCCCGA